AACACAUGCAAGUCGAACGGAAAGGCCCUGCUUGCAGGGUACUCGAGUGGCGAACGGGUGAGUAACACGUGGGUGAUCUGCCCUGCACUUCGGGAUAAGCCUGGGAAACUGGGUCUAAUACCGGAUAGGAGCCAUUUUUAGUGUGAUGGUUGGAAAGUUUUUUCGGUGUAGGAUGAGCUCGCGGCCUAUCAGCUUGUUGGUGGGGUAAUGGCCUACCAAGGCGGCGACGGGUAGCCGGCCUGAGAGGGUGGACGGCCACAUUGGGACUGAGAUACGGCCCAGACUCCUACGGGAGGCAGCAGUGGGGAAUAUUGCACAAUGGGCGCAAGCCUGAUGCAGCGACGCCGCGUGGGGGAUGACGGCCUUCGGGUUGUAAACUCCUUUCGCUAGGGACGAAGCUUUU
Molecule: ribosomal RNA, 403 nt
Filed under: Corynebacterium tuberculostearicum
Lineage: Bacteria; Bacillati; Actinomycetota; Actinomycetes; Mycobacteriales; Corynebacteriaceae
Description: bacterial SSU rRNA
Rfam family: Bacterial small subunit ribosomal RNA
Source: RNAcentral